GAUGAAGAACGUAGCGAAAUGCGAUAAGUAAUGUGAAUUGCAGAAUUCAGAGAAUCAUCGAAUCUUUGAACGCACAUUGCGCCCCCUGGUAUUCCGGGGGGCAUGCCUGUUCGAGCGUCAUUUCACCACUCAAGCCUCGCUUGGUAUUGGGCAACGCGGUCCGCCGCGUGCCUCAAAUCGACCGGCUGGGUCUUCUGUCCCCUAAGCGUUGUGGAAACUAUUCGCUAAAGGGUGUUCGGGAGGCUACGCCGUAAAACAACCCCAUUUCUAAGGUUGACCUCGGAUCAGGUAGGGAUACCCGCUGAACUUAAGCAUAUCAAUAAGCGGAGGA
This 331-nucleotide unclassified non-coding RNA is filed under the name soil metagenome. Its description in RNAcentral is "partial contains 5.8S ribosomal RNA, internal transcribed spacer 2, and large subunit ribosomal RNA". The stretch from base 1 to 120 matches the Rfam family "5.8S ribosomal RNA", at positions 35 to 154 of the family's 154-position model. The record is from RNAcentral.